AAGUCGUAACAAGGUUUCCGUAGGUGAACCUGCGGAAGGAUCAUUAACACUUUUUUUCUUUCCUUCUUUCUUGCUUUUAUUUGCAAGAUAGAUCGAAAAAAAAAACUAUAUCCACCCCUUUUUAUGAAUGAACUUUGAUGGUUUUAGGACCAUUUCAAUUCUUUCUAUUAUCUUUUUUUUUCAAACCCCUUUUUUUAUAAAAACAAAAUGCCUGAUACCGAUUGAAAUCGUAGCUGAAAAGCUUCGAUCUCAAAAAAACGCUAAAAUUGCAAAAAACAACUCUUAGCAACGGAUAUCUUGGCUCUC
RNAcentral lists this unclassified non-coding RNA (306 nucleotides) under fungal sp. RNAcentral describes it as "partial internal transcribed spacer region". The stretch from base 1 to 46 matches the Rfam family "Eukaryotic small subunit ribosomal RNA", at positions 1786 to 1831 of the family's 1831-position model. Lineage: Eukaryota; Fungi. The record is from RNAcentral.